RNAcentral lists this ribosomal RNA (117 nucleotides) under Vicinamibacterales bacterium. Lineage: Bacteria; Pseudomonadati; Acidobacteriota; Vicinamibacteria; Vicinamibacterales. The record is from RNAcentral.
UUCGGUGGUUAUAGCAGUGGGGUCACACCUGAUCUCAUCUCGAACUCAGAAGUUAAGUCCACUUGCGCCGAUGGUACUGCACGGGUAACUGUGUGGGAGAGUAGGUCACCGCCGGGA